ACCUGAAAGCCAACCGAGAACUACGAAUAGUAACCCUGGACAAACCAUCUAACUUUGAAGAAACCGAUGAAAGUGUUGUUAAAAUCAGAAUAUUAUCUAACCAGUCAGUAAAUAAAAGUGAUAAAAAUACUUAUUGUUCAGCCGAAAUUUUUGGUAAAGAAUUAGUAGUAGAUAAAGAUUAUUAUUUUGGUUAUAAUGAAAAGUUUGCAAUUUUUACAUUUACUGGUUGUGUUAUACAAAUAAAGGGAACGACUUUACAAGAAUAUGAAAGUAAAAAUAAUAGUAUAAAAGAAUAUUUAUCAUUAUGUUAUGUAUUAGAUGCAUAUAGAAUGUUAGCAAAAAAAAAGAAGAAGGUAGGUCCAAGGGUAUUAAUAACUGGUAAUAAUAAUGCGGGAAAAAGCACUAUUUCUAUGCUAUUAUUAAAUUAUGCAUCAAAAAGUAAUUUUAAACCUAUAUACAUUGAAACUGAUACAAAAUGUACCUGUGAUAAAAUUAGUUUAAAUAAAGGUCCAGGUAUUAUUAGUGGAUUUGUUUAUGACAAUUUAAAAACAAGUUAUUCAAUUGACUAUUUGUUUGGUUAUUCAGAUAUACAUGAAGAUAUAAAAUUAUACUACCAUAUUAAUGAAUGUAUAAGUAGUUGUAUUUAUUUAAUGAUGUUAAACAAUAUAAGUUAUCAGUCAUCUAAUUUUAAAAAUAGUACAGACCAAGAACUAUUAUAUCCGUCUGGUUUUAUACUAAAUGUACCAUCAGAAGCAGAUAAUGACAUAAUACAUAAUUUAAUUGAAAUAUACAACAUUAAUGUUGUUAUAGUUAUAGAUAACUCUUUUUUGUAUUACUCUUUAAAAGAAUAUUAUAAUAACACUGUGUCAUCGUUAAAUAUUACUGAUGAAACGAUAGGACAAAAACAUAGCAAAGAUAUUGAUAAGAACGUGUACAGUAGUGGAACAGCCAAUUAUUAUGGUAGUAGUCAUGGGAACUACUACAGCAGUAGCAAUAACUAUAAUUACAACAUAAAUGACAUGGAACAAUAUGCUCCACAUUUGACAUAUGGUAAUAAGAAUACAGAAUCAAACAAUUCAUUAUACUCUAAAAAUAAUAGCUCAAUUAGUUUAGGAAACAACAAAUACAACAAUGAUAAUGAUAAUAAUAAUAACAAUAAUAACAAUAAUAAUAAUAAUAAUAAUAAUAAUAACAAUAAUAAUAAUAAUAAUAAUAAUAACAAUAACAAUAAUAACAAUAAUAACGUAAGUAAUGUGAGUAACGUGAGUAACAAAAAGGAUGUUAAAAAAGAAGAUAUACAAAUAUUGGGUAUGCCAAAAUUUGAUGGUGUUAUUCCAUCAGAUACUAGUCGCUUACGCUAUUGUCGAAAUUUAUGGUAUUAUAAUUAUUUUAAAAAAAAUAUAGUUGUUAAUAACACUUCCUACAAAAAAACACAUUUAUUAACAUUUCGAUAUAGUAGUACCACUUUUGUCAAACUAGAUAGUAACUUAGCUGUUCCUUUAUCCGCUUUACCAUGUGAUUUUAAGAAUGUAAAAAGAGAUAUAAUAUUAGUUAGUGUAUAUAAUGAAAACAUUAAAAAACUAACCAACUGUGUUUUAGGGGUGUCUUAUUCAAAAGAUAUGCAAUAUGUACACUUAAUCAACAUGGCAGCCUUUGUUCAUAUUCAAAAUAUUCGAGAAAUUGAAAAAGAACCUGAACAACAAAAAGAUAACCCUGAUCAUAUAAAUGGUGGUGAUAACCUCAUGGAAAAAAAUGAACAAACAAACGACGUAGGGAAAGAUGGAGGAAUAGAUGAAGAAAACAAAAAUGAUUAUCUGAUUGAAAUUAUAUGUCCUGUAUCAAUUACCUCAAGUAAUAUACCACCUUACUUUGUAGUGCCUGGUAACAUAAAACAUAUGAAAUUUUAAACGAACAUAUAUAUGCAUGUAUAUAAGUAAGUACCUCCUUUUUUUUUUUUUUUUUUCUUUUUUUUUCUUUUUUUAUGUAAUAAAAAAAAAAAAAAAAUGGUUACA
Long non-coding RNA from Piliocolobus tephrosceles (Ugandan red Colobus), 2012 nucleotides. The record is from Ensembl. NCBI's taxonomy places the organism in Eukaryota, Metazoa, Chordata, Mammalia, Primates, Cercopithecidae.